AUACGGAGGAUCCGAGCGUUAUCCGGAUUUAUUGGGUUUAAAGGGUGCGCAGGCGGCCAUUUAAGUCAGCGGUUAAAUCGUGGGGCUCAACCCCAUUCUGCCGUUGAUACUGGGUGGCUUGAUUGCGGUCGAGGUUGGCGGAAUUCGUUGUGUAGCGGUGAAAUGCAUAGAGAUGACGAAGAACAACGAUUGCGUAGGCAGCUGACCAGACCGCAAAUGACGCGCAUGCACGAAAGUGCGGGGAUCGAACAGGAUUAGAUACCCUGGUAUUCCGCACAGUAAACGAUGAAUACUUGUUUUCGGCGAUAUAAUGUCGGAGGCAAAGCGAAAGCGAUAAGUAUUCCACCUGGGGAGUACGCCGGCAACGGUGAAACUCAAAUGAAUUGGCGGG
This 391-nucleotide ribosomal RNA is filed under the name uncultured bacterium. RNAcentral's name for it is "partial 16S ribosomal RNA". It matches the Rfam family "Bacterial small subunit ribosomal RNA", at positions 523 to 917 of the family's 1533-position model. The record is from RNAcentral.